AAACGUUGCAAGUUCCCGAGAGGAUUCGCACUGCGAAGAUGCCUUGUAACCGAAUAUUAUCAGGGGGAAUCAUCAUG
Molecule: regulatory RNA element, 77 nt
Organism: Enterococcus dispar ATCC 51266
Lineage: Bacteria; Bacillati; Bacillota; Bacilli; Lactobacillales; Enterococcaceae
Rfam family: SAM-III riboswitch aptamer (SMK box)
Source: Rfam